Molecule: ribosomal RNA, 522 nt
Filed under: uncultured bacterium
Lineage: Bacteria
Description: bacterial SSU rRNA
Rfam family: Archaeal small subunit ribosomal RNA
Source: RNAcentral
AACCUCCGCAAUGUGAGAAAUCGCGACGGGGGGAUCCCAAGUGCCAUUCUUAACGGGAUGGCUUUUCAUUAGUGUAAAGAGCUUUUGGAAUAAGAGCUGGGCAAGACCGGUGCCAGCCGCCGCGGUAACACCGGCAGCUCUAGUGGUAACAAUUUUUAUUGGGCCUAAAGCGUCCGUAGCCGGUUUAAUAAGUCUCUGGUGAAAUCCUGUAGCUUAACUGUGGGAAUUGCUGGAGAUACUAUUAGACUUGAGACCGGGAGAGGUUCGAGGUACUCCCAGGGUAGAGGUGAAAUUCUGUAAUCCUGGGAGGACCGCCUGUUGCGAAGGCGUCUAACUGGAACGGUUCUGACGGUGAGGGACGAAAGUUAGGGGCGCGAACCGGAUUUAGAUACCCGGGUAGUCCUAACUGUAAACGAUGCGGACUUGGUGUUGGGGUGGCUUUGAGCUGCUCCAGUGCCGAAGGGAAGCUGUUAAGUCCGCCGCCUGGGAAGUACGGUCGCAAGACUGAAACUUAAAGGAAUU